Molecule: long non-coding RNA, 822 nt
Filed under: Dermacentor andersoni
Lineage: Eukaryota; Metazoa; Arthropoda; Arachnida; Ixodida; Ixodidae
Description: uncharacterized LOC126516854
Source: RNAcentral
UGAAGCGCGCUUGAAUGUAAACACAAAUAUUUUAAUUUUUCGAGUCAUAGCCACACACGUGCCAAUUCCGCAUCCAAUCCAUUUUGCUACGCACACUUAAGAUGGCGGCUGCGUGAAAACAGCUGAUCGGUUCUGUGGGCCGCUCUUGGUGUAUUUUUGUCCGUAACGUGAUUAGAUGAAAUCUCGCCGUACGAGGUACUUUCGCCCGAGAAGAAUUCUGGAAGCUGUGAACAUCAUGAAGACUGUGAAAGCGUAGUGCUCGGAUACGGAAGAAUCGAUGAAGGUUGGAAGGCAUCUCAACAGAUAGCUGGAAGACGGGAGGCGGAAAGUUGGGCGGCCUGGAGGGCCGCGUGCUUGACGCACAUGGGCGAACCGGCCCAGCUUCCGCCCCUGUGGAUUUUUUCCGUGGCGACUCCGAGGUGAGUAGCAAUGUUCGUUGCUAUGUGUACCGAUGUCGGGCAGUUACACCGUGGUGAAUAUUUUGCCGUUGUGUGCUUGUUUUCUUACAAUUCAACACACAUGCCAGCACAUGAUAUCCGUACUCUGCAAGAACGGAAAUGCUGCCCCACUGCUGUUAAGAAACACCUUGUGGUGGAUUUCAUGGCUCGUUAAUCCGAAAAGCAUUAGCAACGAGUUGUCAAAGCUCCAAGUCACUAGUAUGUCGCAUGCUGGAUUAAGAAUUUUCUGAUUUAAAAACUAUAAGUGAAAUAGACAUUGCAACCAGUUGAUGGAACUUAAUCACAUUAUGUCCUGUACUUUAUUGUUCCAGGAGGACACCUCCAGUGAAGAGGAGCCGCAUGCCGAUGUGCCCCCUGCCCCACC